AUGAUACCGCAAAAGAGGUUAACACGUGGCUACACAAUGAGAGGUGUCCUUGAGGAAUUUCAGCUUAUUGGGCGAAAGCAAGAAAAAGAAGAUAUUAUUGCACUAAUUGAAAAACAAGAUAGCACUCAUGAAGUUCAGGUGAUAGUAGUAUGGGGAAUGGGUGGUCUUGGAAAAACCACUCUGAUAAAAAAUGUUUUCCAAAGCAAAGAUGUCAGUGGCCUGUUUGAAAAGAAUGCUUUCGCCACGGUCUUGCGGCCUUUCAAGCUUGAUGAGCUCCUUAGGAGCUUGGCAUUGCAACUAGAUGCAAACAAGGAAUCCAUGGACUUUACAGGUGACACCCAAAAAAGCAUUGCUUCGAUGGGAGUUAAAGACUUGAUUAAAGUGUUGGGCAGACGUUCAGAAGGAAAGAGGUGUUUGAUUGUUCUCGAUGACCUCUUAGCUAUGGAAGAAUGGGAUAAAAUAUCGCCAAGUUUAGGUGAAAUAAAAAAUCUGGUUAUUGUGAUCACCACAAGGCGAGAGGAUAUUGCUAAGCAUUGUUGCAAAAAACCGAAGUGCAUACGUUUGCUCAACGGUCUUCAAGAAAAGGAUGCAAUUACCCUGUUCACAAGAAAGGUAUUUAGGAAUAUGACUACUGAUUUGGCUGAGCAAUAUCCUGCAUUGGUCGAACCAGCAAAACAAAUCCUGAAGAAGUGCAAUGGACUUCCCCUUGCCAUAGUCACCAUAGGUGGUUUCUUGGCUGAUCAACCAACAAAAACUGCUGCAGAGUGGAGGAGACUGAAUGAGCAUAUCAAUGUUGAGCUGGAGAUGAAUCCAAAGAUUGAAGUUAUAAAAACAGUCCUCAUGAAAAGUUAUGAUGGCCUACCCUAUUAUCUCAAGCCUUGUUUCUUGUACAUGUCCAUCUUCCCUGAAGACCGCAAUGUUAGUCGGAGGCGUUUGGCUUACCGAUGGGUUGCUGAAGGUUAUGCGCGAGACAAGCCCACAGCAGAUAGAUACUUCAUGGAACUCAGAGAGAGAAGCAUGAUAUUACCAACUCAGCAAUCAGUUUGCAGCAUACAAGGAUUCAACUCUUGCCAGCUACACGAUCUGAUUCGUGAUAUCAGCAUUGCAGAGUCUUUGGAGGAAAAUCUUGUUUUCAGGUUGGAGGAAGGCUGCAGCUUGAACACCCACGGCGCAAUGCGUCACCUUGCCAUAAGCAGCAACUGGGAGGGUGAUGAGUGUGAGUUGGAGAGCACCGUGGAGCUAUCCCGUAUACGGUCAUUGACAGUGUUUGGCAAGUGGAAGCCAUUUUACAUCUCUGAAAAGAUGAGGUUUCUCCGGGUGCUGGACCUGGAAGGAACAGAAGGGUUAAGAAAUCAUCAGCUUGAGCACAUUUGGGUGCUUCUUCAUCUGAGAUACCUCUCUCUUCGUGGGUGUGGGUACAUCUAUUACCUCCCAGAUUCGGUGGGUAAUCUGAGACAACUUGAGACACUAGACAUCAAAGGGACGAGUAUAGCUAUGUUGCCCAGAACCACCAUCAAGCUUAGUAAGCUAUGUUAUCUGCAUGCUGGCAGCGGUUCAGGGGAUAAGGAGAAAACUUGUUUUUCAAAGUAUGAAGACAUUUGUGAAAUGCAACGUGAUUUAUGUGUAGGAUGCUGCUCACUGGAUCUUUCAGACAUGUAUGGAUUUGGCAGGUGUGAGGCUUUCCAUCUUGCUUGGUGCACAUUGUACCCUAAUAUCAUUAGGGGCAUAGAGAAUUCUGGUGUUAAGGUGCCAAGAGGGACCAGGAAACUGAAGGCCCUCCGUACACUACGGUAUGUUCACCUUGCUUGGGGAACUGCCAUUAUAAAAGAGAUAAAAGGCCUCACUGGUCUGCAGAAGCUAGGAGUGGUCGGUAUCAACAAGAAAAAUGGUCCAGGUUUCUGUUCGGCCAUUUCCAAUCUCAGCCAUCUUGAAUCAUUGUCAGUGCGGUCAGGUGAUGGCCUAAAUGGCUGUUUGGAUGGCAUGUCCACAGCUCCGGAAAACCUGCAGAGCCUCAAGCUAUCCGGUAGCCUGGAAAAAUUGCCGGAAUGGAUCAAGGGGCUCCAAAAUCUCGUGAAGCUCAAGUUAGAACUCAGCAAGCUAUCAGGGAACCUUGAAGCCAUGAAAGUACUUGGGAAACUACCAUACCUAUCCAUUCUGGGUUUGUGGGAUGACGGGUUUAAGAUCGACGUCCUCCAGUUCCAGACUGGCCUUUUCAGAAGGCUCACGGUGCUUGAUCUUUUCUACUCAAGGAUGGAAAUUAAAUUAGUUGAGUUUGAGGAAGAAUCAGUGCCCAAUCUUGAGUUGCUGACCCUUAGCCUUGGAUCUACUGAAAUUUCCUUCUCUGGGCUAGAACUUCUCCAAAGCAUCAAGGAAGUACGGCUUAGUGUUCAUAGCUGCUUGUUUGGUACACCCAAAUCAUCAAAAAAUGGGGGAAAUGAAAAAAAAUGGGGAAAGAAAAAUAUGAAUACAUGA
This 2472-nucleotide ribosomal RNA is filed under the name Triticum aestivum (bread wheat). RNAcentral describes it as "partial small subunit ribosomal RNA". Lineage: Eukaryota; Viridiplantae; Streptophyta; Magnoliopsida; Poales; Poaceae. The record is from RNAcentral.